UCACGUAAGUAUUUGGAACACUAUUCCAAUAUUUAUUUGCAUGCUCCUAUACCACUAGAGUUUUGAGCAUUGGAACACUAGGCUUAUAUAAAAUCUUAAUGAGUAUGAAUAUUUUCUGCUUCAGAAAAUGUAUGGAUUUAUAUAUGAAAUUGCGAAGGUUUUGUGUAAAUAGUAAAAAAUAAAUUAUUGCAUUGAAGCAUUUGCGCCGAAUUUACUUCUGCUUGAAGGCGUCGGCUCGACGUUGGCAAACGUUGCACCGACAUUAGCAAAACAUUCAAGUUAGAUAAACAAAUACCGGCCAUUAUAUUUGGUAGCCUAUGAUCGAUAAUGAAACUGAAAAACAAUUAUCAACAUUAAACAUUUAUAGUAUGGAAAUUCAAAACCUAAGAUUAGGCCAUUAUAAAUAUUUUACAAAGGAAAUUUUAAAUAGAAAAACAUAUAUUUAACAUAAAUAUAUUAUUUAUUCACACACACACAUACACACACAAAAAAAAAUCUUUCUUUGAAAGUUUCAAAUCCUGUGACAUAUUCUAACAAAUAGUAUAAAUCUGUAAUAUGUGAUUUUAAUAUGUAUGUUAAGAGCUGAACAAUUAAUAUAACAUCCACUUGCAACAUAUUUUUAUGAUAUUUAAUGUUGCUGUAUUUAUGUAUUACAUAUAGGUUGCCUAUUUGAAUUCUUUGGACGCAUAACAGCAAAGGGUGUAAUUGAGAGAAUAAUGGAGUGCAUAUCCACCCAGCCCUUCGCCUGUCGUUACGACUGGGUUGGCAGGAGAAAAACAUAACGGCAUCAGGAAAUUAAUUCUCAGAAAGAUGCUUACCCAAAACAGCAACAUAAGAGGCAGGAGCAGAACUGCAUCUUAGAAAUUGAUUAAGAUAUGCAUCGGACCAAAGUUGGGGCCGCAAAAGGAACACUUGGGGAGGAGAGGCAACGUGCGAGGCCAGCAGCCAUGGAGACGUAGUCGGAAUCCGAAUAAGAUGAUGAACAAGAUUGAUAUGUACCUCGAUAAUAAAUGUUACAACUGUGA
This 1025-nucleotide long non-coding RNA is filed under the name Gigantopelta aegis. RNAcentral's name for it is "uncharacterized LOC121386166, transcript variant X2". The record is from RNAcentral. Lineage: Eukaryota; Metazoa; Mollusca; Gastropoda; Neomphalida; Peltospiridae.